AAAUACGCGUAGACGAAGAAUAGUAGGCUGCAGGAUUCCCCACAGAGAGCCGUGGUUGCUGGGAGCACGGCGGGAUGAAACAGUUCGAACUCGCUUCUGAGCGGUUCCGCUGAACUUGAACGGUAGGCGGAAACGGGUUCUCCCGUUACAGGGAAAGGGUAUCCGGCCGGUACCCUGUAAAGCGGCGUCUUCUAUGGACGAAUCGGAGUGGUAACGCGGUGAAAAUCAUCGUCUCUUCA
This 239-nucleotide non-coding RNA is filed under the name Clostridiales sp. EM6. RNAcentral describes it as "Clostridiales sp. T-box sequence". It matches the Rfam family "T-box leader". From Rfam's summary of the family: Uncharged tRNA acts as the effector for transcription antitermination of genes in the T-box leader family. T-boxes are found upstream of many aminoacyl-tRNA synthetase genes and some amino acid biosynthetic genes usually in Gram-positive bacteria. The record is from RNAcentral. Lineage: Bacteria; Bacillati; Bacillota; Clostridia; Eubacteriales.